This 547-nucleotide ribosomal RNA is filed under the name Aspergillus flavus var. flavus. RNAcentral describes it as "eukaryotic LSU rRNA". The stretch from base 215 to 368 matches the Rfam family "5.8S ribosomal RNA". The record is from RNAcentral. Lineage: Eukaryota; Fungi; Ascomycota; Eurotiomycetes; Eurotiales; Aspergillaceae.
UUCCGUAGGGUGAACCUGCGGAAGGAUCAUUACCGAGUGUAGGGUUCCUAGCGAGCCCAACCUCCCACCCGUGUUUACUGUACCUUAGUUGCUUCGGCGGGCCCGCCAUUCAUGGCCGCCGGGGGCUCUCAGCCCCGGGCCCGCGCCCGCCGGAGACACCACGAACUCUGUCUGAUCUAGUGAAGUCUGAGUUGAUUGUAUCGCAAUCAGUUAAAACUUUCAACAAUGGAUCUCUUGGUUCCGGCAUCGAUGAAGAACGCAGCGAAAUGCGAUAACUAGUGUGAAUUGCAGAAUUCCGUGAAUCAUCGAGUCUUUGAACGCACAUUGCGCCCCCUGGUAUUCCGGGGGGCAUGCCUGUCCGAGCGUCAUUGCUGCCCAUCAAGCACGGCUUGUGUGUUGGGUCGUCGUCCCCUCUCCGGGGGGGACGGGCCCCAAAGGCAGCGGCGGCACCGCGUCCGAUCCUCGAGCGUAUGGGGCUUUGUCACCCGCUCUGUAGGCCCGGCCGGCGCUUGCCGAACGCAAAUCAAUCUUUCCAGGUGACCUCGGA